AUACGUAGGGGGCGAGGGUUGUCCGGAAUGAUUGGGCGUAAAGGGCGCGUAGGCGGCCGGGUAAGUCUGGGGUGAAAGUCCUGUUUUUAGGAGGGGAAUUGCUUGGAUUACUGUCGGGUUUGGGUGCAGGAGAGGUAGGGGGAAUUCCCAGUGUAGGGGUGAAAUGCGUAGAGAUUGGCAGGAACACCAGUGGCGAAGGCGACUUACUGGACUGUAACUGACGCUGAGGCGCGAAAGUGUGGGGAGCAAACAGGAUUAGAUACCCUGGUAGUCCACACUGUAAACGAUGAAUGCUAGGUGUAGGGGGUAUCGACCCCUUCUGUGCCGCAGUCAACACAAUAAGCAUUCCGCCUGGGGAGUACGGCCGCAAGGUUGAAACUCAAAGGAAUUGACGGGG
RNAcentral lists this ribosomal RNA (397 nucleotides) under uncultured bacterium. Its description in RNAcentral is "partial 16S ribosomal RNA". It matches the Rfam family "Bacterial small subunit ribosomal RNA", at positions 523 to 918 of the family's 1533-position model. The record is from RNAcentral.